UACAGAGGGUGCAAGCGUUGUUCGGAAUUAUUGGGCGUAAAGAGCUCGUAGGCGGUGUGUCACGUCGGCCGUGAAAACCUGCAGCUUAACUGUGGGCGUGCGGUCGAUACGGGCAUCACUGGAGUUCGGCAGGGGAGACUGGAAUUCCUGGUGUAGCGGUGAAAUGCGCAGAUAUCAGGAGGAACACCGAUGGCGAAGGCAGGUCUCUGGGCCGAUACUGACGCUGAGGAGCGAAAGCGUGGGGAGCGAACAGG
This 254-nucleotide ribosomal RNA is filed under the name uncultured bacterium. Its description in RNAcentral is "partial 16S ribosomal RNA". It matches the Rfam family "Bacterial small subunit ribosomal RNA", at positions 524 to 776 of the family's 1533-position model. The record is from RNAcentral.